Molecule: long non-coding RNA, 250 nt
Filed under: Olea europaea (common olive)
Lineage: Eukaryota; Viridiplantae; Streptophyta; Magnoliopsida; Lamiales; Oleaceae
Description: long non-coding RNA (OEUR_LNC009753)
Source: RNAcentral
AGAUAUUUGGGAUAAUAAAUCAAAUCCAGCGGAGCGUGACCAAAGAUUUUAUUUUUAGCUUUUGUUUUAAUUUUAUUAUUAUGUGGAUCUGUGAUUCAAGAUUUGGGAUACAAUUUUUUUUAUAUGUUUUUAUGGUUUAUUUUCAUUAUUUUAUAUUGGUGGAACCAAAACUUUAUUCACAAUCAAUUAUUCAGAAUAACACAUAAUAGAGUAUGGUUGAUCUUAUCACAUGAAUUGAGAAUUUUGGGUG